GUGGCAUUUAUUUUUCAUAAGCUUCUUUUAAUUUAUAAUUCAUAGAAUGAAUAUAUGCAUAUUUUCUAACUGUGCCUUUUGUUUUAUUUCUAAGUGCCUUAUACAUAAUAUUUGUAAUUGUUAUACAUGUAUAAAGGAAUAAAUACUGUUUAUGAUGCAGUGUUGUUAAGUUAAAUGUACACACAGGCAACACAGCAUAGACAC
Molecule: long non-coding RNA, 204 nt
Filed under: Mytilus galloprovincialis (Mediterranean mussel)
Lineage: Eukaryota; Metazoa; Mollusca; Bivalvia; Mytilida; Mytilidae
Source: RNAcentral